GGAAGGAUCAUUAACACGUAUCCACGUUAAUAACCCGAGAACUCUUAGGAGAGAGUCCCUUUCCUUUUGGAAAAGGACAAUCUCCUUUGAUUAAUAACUUAAAGAGCGGAUGCUUUACCUGAGUCUCUCAGGUUAAGGUACUUCAAUCUUUAUGUUAUUUGCCUUUAGGGGACAAGUCUUCGGAUGCGACCCCUAAAGGUUACUUGAAACCCCUUUUUUCUAACUUAAAGGCCGUCUCUUUGUAGACCGCUUUUAACCGAAUGCUGUACAACUCUUAGCAACGGAUAUCUUGGUUCUGGCAACGAUGAAGAACGCAGCGAAAUGCGAUACGUAGUGCGAAUUGCAGAAUUCAGUGAAUCAUCAAAUCUUCGAACGCAGAAUGCGCUCUCGGAUACUCCUGGGAGCACGCCUCUUCCAGUGCCUUUCAUAGCUUCGAUUCCGUCCCUCCCCAGGUGGGUGGCUGAUGGAUCGAGGACCAAUGAUGGGAUCAUAAAGUUAGGCUCUACGUUGAGCGAUUAGAGCAAGCCCGCGUGUUUCACACGAUUGUGGUCUCUUUCGCUAAACGAAGCAAGCCCUCCCACGUGAAAUCUUCGGAUAUCACGAUAGGUACAAACGCGCGAAAAAGCAAGCCCGCGUUAAUCAAGUUCUAUGGCGAAUGGCGUUUGGAUUGCUUCAGCUUCCAAACGUUCAGACGCGUCUUGUUAACGAUUGUGGUCUCUAGUAAACGCUAGUAGUACUUAGCUCAUUGGCCUCGAUCUGGACGUCACUAAUGCCUUGGUGCACACGGAGAAAGUGAGGGUGACAUGCUGCAUGUCUCCCUUUAAAUACAUACCUUCAAGAUAACUUAACCAACUUCUUUGUUCAUUAAGAACUUUGAAACCCCACCGAGGAGCUUCCGACGCUAAACGCGUUAGUUGCGGUGGAUAACGUUCACUUAGGCCUUGUGCUUCUGUGAACUUCCAAUCUUCCGUAUACUUUCUAUGGCGAAUGGCGAAGGACUCUGUUGACAAGGUGGAUUAGUAAUCGAACUUAUAUGAACGCUCAUAAAGAUCUUGGUGGUGCUUGCUCGGUUCAAGUAAUGUUCUAAGCCUGAUAGUCAUUUCAGGAUCAACUUUCCAAGGUAAGCGCAAAAAGUAGACUUAUCUGGAGGAAGCCACUCUCUUCGAGGGGUUUUCGGGGUAAUCCUUUCCUAGGCAAAACGCUGGCAAGGAUGGCUUGACUCCAAGUGGAUCUUUGACUUCCCAAGGUGAUGGGUGAGCAUUGGACGGGCCCGACCAAUUAUCUAGGUCCUCAUUCCUUUCUCCGGAAAGGGUGUUGACCUAACUUCUAAGCCUUCACGCUUUUCUCCUCUUUUGAAAAAAUCUUUCUCUUGAGGGAAAUGAAUGAGACUUAGGUAGUUGGAGAGGCUUGACUAGUGUUUCAUUUCACGAAUGUUUAUGGACUGGCCUCUCGGGGCUAGACUACAUUCACUCGUUCUGAUCUAAGGGUCGUUAAAGAACUGUGCGGAGGAGGGUUGUCUGAGUUGGAAUUUUGUCUGGGGAGGACCCUCGAUUUCUCUGAGUCGAGUGUGGUGGAUCUCAGAUAUGUCUACCUAGUAGUUCUUAUUGAGGAAAGUAGUUUCUGACUGUCUAGCAUGGUUUGGAAUAUAACACCUAUGGCCUGGGAUGAAGCGAGAGGACCCGCCGAAUUUAAGCAUAUUAUUAAGCGGAGGAAAAGAAACUAACAAGGAUUCCCCUAGUAACGGCGAGUGAAGCGGGAAAAGCUCAAAAUGAAAAUCGGGUGUCUUUUCGGCAUUCGAGUUGUAAUCUAAAGGCUUGUUUUCUGCGUGUGACCCGGGUAUAACUCUUUUGAAACAAGGGAUCAUAGAGGGUGAAAAUCCCGUCCAUGACCCGGAGUUCGCCGCGUACGAUACAUGUCCAAAGAGUCGAGUAGCUUGGGAUUGCUGCUCAAAAUGGGUGGUAAAUCUCAUCUAAAGCUAAAUAUUGGCCAGAGACCGAUAGCGAACAAGUACCGUGAGGGAAAGAUGAAAAGAACUUUGAAAAGAGAGUUAAAAAGUACUUGAAAUUGCUAAGAGGGAACCUGUGGAAACCAGUCAUUCUCUUUGCUAUACUUACUACCUGCUAUUGGAUGGCAGCGGUGCAUAGUUCCCUCGGUCUAUGCCUGUUGUCGGACAUUUAGUAGGUGGGUCCUGUAGCUUUGAGAGUGUCAGAGUCAGUUCUUCUCGCCGGAGAAAACCAGAGGGAAGGUAGGGUAGGUGGGUUUCUCACUUAUCUGUUAUAGCCCUUUGGCGAUACGGUGGGGGGGACUGAGGCUCCGAUAAGGCACCCCUCCUUGUGGGGGCAAAGUUACCGUCCUCUGUCAUGUUAUUGGAAGCUGCCAACAAAGUUGUCACUUCUAAGACGCGUGCUACUGGGGCGGCUCACUAUUCGUGUCUUCGCGAUUCUGACGAAAUGGUUUUCACUGACCCGUCUGGAAACACGGACCAAGGAGUCUAACAUAUAUGCGAGUAUUUGGGUGGAAAACCCUGAUGCGUAAUGAAAGUGAAGGCAGCUUCGGUUGCUGAGGUAGGAACCUGGGUUUCGACCUGGGGGCACUAUCGACCGAUCUACACUCGUGAUAGAUUUGAGUAAGAGCAUAUCUGUUGGGACCCGAAAGAUGGUGAUCUAUGCCUGAACAGGGUGAAGCCAGGGGAAACUCUGGUGGAGGCUCGAAGCGUUACUGACGUGCAAAUCGUUCGUCUGAUUUGGGUAUAGGGGCGAAAGACUAAUCGAACCAUCUAGUAGCUGGUUCCCUC
Molecule: unclassified non-coding RNA, 2794 nt
Filed under: uncultured fungus
Lineage: Eukaryota; Fungi
Description: sequence contains 18S rRNA gene, ITS1, 5.8S rRNA gene, ITS2, 28S rRNA gene
Rfam family: Eukaryotic large subunit ribosomal RNA (bases 1656-2794)
Source: RNAcentral